AUAAGCUAAAACGGACCAAAUAUUUGGACCCGAUCGAUGAUUCGGGUUUCUUCGUGAAUCGGCUGUUUCGUACAUCCUCGAGUUCCCGAGGAUCUGCAACUAAAAUCAUUACUUGACACUUGUCAACUGUCAUGAAUAGACACAGUGACAAUACAUUUGCCUCUAUUUGGGUAUAUUCGAAUUUUUCAAGUGAAAAAGUGUUGAAGAGCAAUUUUUAUUGCUUAAUUCAUACAAAUAUAUUGGUUAAUGAGGAAGAACAAAUUUCACCCAAAUUCCUAAAUUAUCUGAAAAAGUGAGCAGAAUUUGGCAGAUUGUUUCUUACGAAACUAAUCAUGGAUAUUUUUAAGUCAUUACUUUCAAAACCAACAGAGAAUAAUGAUGUGGCCUAUUGUAAAAGAAUAUGAGCAGGUAUUCAUACAAAUAUGGCGAUAGAGAGCUUGAAUAAAUAUCCGAAAUCUAAUAAAAUAGAAGGAAAAGAAAAUAAGAGUUGACAAGCUAUAGAUUUGUUGGAAGAAAUAGUUGAUGAGAAGAUGUGGAUGAAAAUUAUGAGAAAUGAAAGACCUAACUCCAACAACUAUCAACAAAAAAUUUCUGUAGAAUCUCAUUAAAAAGCAGAAACAAUGAAAGACUUGAUAGAGGAGGUCUGUAUAUGAUUGUAGCAUUUCACAUAUGCCUACUUAUGCGUUUCGUCCCUGGCAGACACACCGGACUCAUCAGUGUGACAGCAAGUUCAUAUUUUUUUUUCAUUUUCAGCAGACUACCAAAACUUCAUAGCAAAUAAUUUACAACAUUAAAAUGAUAUUGACAAAGAAUCGUGAUAAAUUCUAACUGAACUAGCAUGUUACACAUUAAGAGACGAACGAUGUGCCAAUGUGAACAGAAGAACCAGUCUAUAUCAAAAUGAAUUGUAUAUAAUUUUGAACAAAUGUAAGCUUUCUUACAAUAAACUACUUCCUGUAUUUA
Harmonia axyridis is the source of this 963-nucleotide long non-coding RNA. RefSeq lists it as uncharacterized. The record is from RefSeq and is a predicted model, not a curated record. NCBI's taxonomy places the organism in Eukaryota, Metazoa, Arthropoda, Insecta, Coleoptera, Coccinellidae. The transcript has 2 exons.